UUCCUGGAGGACUAGUGUUUAGGCCUCGGUGCUCUUACCGCCGCUUGCCUGGGUUCGAUUCCUGGCCAGGGAA
Molecule: non-coding RNA, 73 nt
Organism: Pangasianodon gigas (Mekong giant catfish)
Lineage: Eukaryota; Metazoa; Chordata; Actinopteri; Siluriformes; Pangasiidae
Source: the annotation of a GenBank genome assembly